Molecule: non-coding RNA, 261 nt
Organism: Pelobates cultripes (western spadefoot toad)
Lineage: Eukaryota; Metazoa; Chordata; Amphibia; Anura; Pelobatidae
Source: the annotation of a GenBank genome assembly
AGACACAUUAGUUAGUACAAUCGAACAGUGUAUCAGCACUAUGUUUUGUUACAUUGGUUGCGUGCAUUCUUUAUAUUAACGUUACAUUAUUAUACAGUUCUACAAUUGUAUGUGCAUGGUCAUUGCUUUCUGUGGGCCGCUAGCUAGCUUAGUCCGUGCCCCAUUAAACUUGUAGUUUGUCUGUUGCUGGCCCCUUAUCUCGUAUGUCUUUCCGUACAUAUAAGGUCUCUAAAGACUGCGGUAGCAUCAUCUUUAUGUGCC